This is a non-coding RNA of Erythranthe guttata (spotted monkey flower), 813 nucleotides long. NCBI's taxonomy places the organism in Eukaryota, Viridiplantae, Streptophyta, Magnoliopsida, Lamiales, Phrymaceae. The record is from RefSeq and is a predicted model, not a curated record.
AUCGAAGAAAUUAAUAAUUCCCUAGUUUUAAGUUCCCUUCACAACCUUCACUUCUUCGCCGAAGGCCAUAACCCGUAUUCCAAUCAGUUCUCCCUUUUGACCGGCGGCCAUAUCCAAAUACUUCUCAGAGGCGACUACAGAUUUUAUGGACAUAGUCUUAUAUGUGAUCCAUGGUUAACCUUCAGGCAACCAGAUUCAAAAGAAAUGGUGAAUCAUGUGAUUUUGCAAGAGCUAAAGGUCAAAGAAGGUCUCUACAUCAUUUAUGUCUGCUCUAGGUGUUAUACGGCACCUGAUUUUAUUUUUGAAGCAACAAAGUAUAUUAAUGAUAUUGAUAUUUAGUCUUUUAGGUGUGUGCUUGCUGAGCUACAUUUUGGACAGGUACUUGUUGAAUUCCUUGUGAGAGUGGAGUAUACCAGCUUAUUGGCUUUUUUCUUUCAUCCCCUGUCUCCCUCCAUAUUCACAUGACAACAUUGUAAACUUCAAGAAAAAUGUGAAUGCUGAAUUUAUCAAGGUGUUGUGCUUCUAUCUCUUUUGAGAAAGGAAACCGCAAAGAAGAAAAGGCGUACAAGUAUUGAUCCGAUUGUGUUGCUUGGCUACUUCAGAUGAUCAACAUUAACGUAGAUGCUAUCCAGGAUAGUGAUGGGAGCUACAUCUAACUUUUCUGAGUUUGUAGUGUUAGAGCACUAGAAUGAGUAGUUACACAUGAUAUUCGAUCUCAUUGGUUUACCGUGGGAGAUCCCUUGUAGUAUCUGUUGACUUUCUUGUACAAACAGUUAGUAUUUAUAUGAAUGAAUAUUGAUGAUGCUGUUGGGU